Molecule: ribosomal RNA, 370 nt
Filed under: uncultured Erysipelotrichaceae bacterium
Lineage: Bacteria; Bacillati; Bacillota; Erysipelotrichia; Erysipelotrichales; Erysipelotrichaceae
Description: bacterial SSU rRNA
Rfam family: Bacterial small subunit ribosomal RNA
Source: RNAcentral
UAGGGGAUAGUUAUAGCCAAGACAGGUGGUGCGAUGGUUGUCGUCAGCUCGUGUCGUGAGAUGUUGGGUUAAGUCCCGCAACGAGCGCAACCCUUGUCCUUAGUUACCAUCAUUCAGUUGGGGACUCUAAGGAGGACUGCCGAUGUAAAUCGGAGGAAGGUGGGGAUGACGUCAAAUCAUCAUGCCCUUUAUGUCCUGGGCGACACACGUGCUACAAUGGCCGGUACAAAGAGACGCCAACCAGCGAUGGUGCGCAAAUCUCAAAAAGCCGGUCUCAGUUCAGAUCGAAGUCUGCAACUCGACUUCGUGAAGGCGGAAUUGCUAGUAAUCGCGAAUCAGCCAUGUCGCGGUGAAUACGUUCCCGGGGUUU